RNAcentral lists this ribosomal RNA (1005 nucleotides) under uncultured marine bacterium. RNAcentral describes it as "bacterial SSU rRNA". It matches the Rfam family "Bacterial small subunit ribosomal RNA", at positions 56 to 1061 of the family's 1533-position model. The record is from RNAcentral.
UGCAGUCGAGCGAGAAAGCCCUUCGGGGUGAGUACAGCGGCGGACGGGUGAGUAACGCGUAGGAAUCUACCUAGUAGUGGGGGACAACUCGUGGAAACGCGAGCUAAUACCGCAUACGCCCUACGGGGGAAAGCGGGGGAUCUUCGGACCUCGUGCUAUUAGAUGAGCCUGCGUAAGAUUAGCUAGUUGGUGGGGUAAUGGCCUACCAAGGCGACGAUCUUUAGCUGGUCUGAGAGGAUGAUCAGCCACACCGGGACUGAGACACGGCCCGGACUCCUACGGGAGGCAGCAGUCGGGAAUAUUGCGCAAUGGGCGAAAGCCUGACGCAGCCAUGCCGCGUGUGUGAAGAAGGCCUUAGGGUUGUAAAGCACUUUCAAUUGGGAGGAAAAGCUAAUGGUUAAUAGCCAUUAGCCCUGACGUUACCUUUAGAAGAAGCACCGGCUAACUCCGUGCCAGCAGCCGCGGUAAUACGGAGGGUGCAAGCGUUAAUCGGAAUUACUGGGCGUAAAGCGCGCGUAGGCGGUUUUUUAACUCGGAUGUGAAAGCCCCGGGCUCAACCUGGGAAUUGCAUCCGAUACUGGAUGACUAGAAUGCGGGAGAGGGAGGUAGAAUUCCAUGUGUAGCAGUGAAAUGCGUAGAUAUAUGGAGGAAUACCAGUGGCGAAGGCGGCCUCCUGGCUCGACAUUGACGCUGAGGUGCGAAAGCGUGGGGAGCAAACGGGAUUAGAUACCCCGGUAGUCCACGCCGUAAACGAUGUCUACUAGCUGUAGGGGUACUUGAGACCUUUGUAGCGCAGCUAACGCAAUAAGUAGACCGCCUGGGGAGUACGGCCGCAAGGUUAAAACUCAAAUGAAUUGACGGGGGCCCGCACAAGCAGUGGAGCAUGUGGUUUAAUUCGAUGCAACGCGAAGAACCUUACCAGGCCUUGACAUCCCCGGAACUUUCUAGAGAUAGAUUGGUGCCUUCGGGAACCGGGUGACAGUGCUGCAUGGCUGUCGUCAGCUC